Molecule: ribosomal RNA, 301 nt
Filed under: uncultured bacterium
Lineage: Bacteria
Description: partial 16S ribosomal RNA
Rfam family: Bacterial small subunit ribosomal RNA
Source: RNAcentral
CAGUCGCCACGGUAAUACGGAGGGUGCAAGCGUUAUCCGGAUUCACUGGGUUUAAAGGGUGCGUAGGCGGAUCUGUAAGUCAGUGGUGAAAUCUCCAGGCUUAACCUGGAAACUGCCGUUGAUACUAUAGGUCUUGAAUUUUGUGGAGGUUAGCGGAAUAUGUCAUGUAGCGGUGAAAUGCAUAGAUAUGACAUAGAACACCAAUUGCGAAGGCAGCUGGCUACACAACUAUUGACGCUGAGGCACGAAAGCGUGGGGAUCAAACAGGAUUAGAUACCCCCGUAGUCCCUGUCUCUUAUAA